This 840-nucleotide ribosomal RNA is filed under the name metagenome. Its description in RNAcentral is "bacterial LSU rRNA". It matches the Rfam family "Bacterial large subunit ribosomal RNA", at positions 2090 to 2925 of the family's 2925-position model. The record is from RNAcentral.
CCCAUGGAGCUUUACUGUAGCCUAAUAUUGGGUUUCGAUGUUGCAUGCACAGGAUAGAUGGGACACAGGGAAACAAUCGCUUUGGCGGUUGCGGAGUGGCCGUUGGGAUACCAUCCUUGCGAUAUUGGAAUUCUAACCUGCGGCUCUGAAUCGAGUCGGGGGACAUUGUUAGGUGGGCAGUUUGACUGGGGCGGUCGCCUCCUAAAAAGUAACGGAGGCGUUCAAAGGUUCGCUCAGCUUGAACGGAAAUCAAGCAAAAGAGUGCAAACGCAGAAGCGAGCCUAACUGCGAGACUGACGGGUCGAGCAGUAACGAAAGUUGGAGUUAGUGAUCCGGUGGUAUGUGAGUGGAAAUGCCAUCGCUCAACGGAUAAAAGUUACCCUGGGGAUAACAGGCUGAUCUCCCCCAAGAGUCCACAUCGACGGGGAGGUUUGGCACCUCGAUGUCGGCUCAUCGCAUCCUGGGGCUGUAUUCGGUCCCAAGGGUUUGGCUGUUCGCCAAUUAAAGCGGUACGCGAGCUGGGUUCAGAACGUCGUGAGACAGUUCGGUCCCUAUCUGUCGUGGGCGCAGGAUAUUUGAUGGGAGCUGUCCCUAGUACGAGAGGACCGGGACGGACGUACCUCUGGCGCACCAGUUGUUCCGCCAGGAGCAUAGCUGGGCAACUACGUACGGAUCGGAUAAACGCUGAAAGCAUCUAAGCGUGAAGCCGACCCAAAGAUAAGAUGUCCCAUUGUUUUAAACAAGUAAGACCCCUUGAAGACUACAAGGUUGAUAGGCACGAUGUGUAAGUGGAGCGAUCCAUUCAGCAAGCGUGUACUAAUAGGUCGAGGGCUUGACCAC